UUGCCAGCAGUGACAACGAGCGCGGACACCCCGGAGGACGUUGCGGAGGACAUCGAAGAGCUCCUGACCUGGAUCGACGAGGAAGUGACGGCCAACACAGGCAUCCUGGACGACACCGAAGACAUGGAUGAGCUGCUCGCGUGGAUCAACAACGAAGAGAGACCCAGCACCAGCAGUCUUGCCAGCGAUGUGGAAAUUGACCAUUUCCUCACCUGCAUUG
This is a non-coding RNA of Meleagris gallopavo (turkey), 220 nucleotides long. The record is from RefSeq and is a predicted model, not a curated record. Lineage: Eukaryota; Metazoa; Chordata; Aves; Galliformes; Phasianidae.